RNAcentral lists this unclassified non-coding RNA (329 nucleotides) under soil metagenome. RNAcentral's name for it is "partial contains 5.8S ribosomal RNA, internal transcribed spacer 2, and large subunit ribosomal RNA". The stretch from base 1 to 120 matches the Rfam family "5.8S ribosomal RNA", at positions 35 to 154 of the family's 154-position model. The record is from RNAcentral.
GAUGAAGAACGUAUCGAAAUGCGAUAAGUAAUGUGAAUUGCAGAAUUCAGUGAAUCAUCGAAUCUUUGAACGCACAUUGCGCCCCCUGGUAUUCCGGGGGGCAUGCCUGUCCGAGCGUCAUUACAACCCUCAAGCUCAGCUUGGUGUUGGGCCCCGCCGCCCCGGCGGGCCCUAAAGUCAGUGGCGGUGCCGUCCGGCUCCGAGCGUAGUAAUUCUUCUCGCUCUGGAGGUCCGGUCGUGUGCUCGCCAGCAACCCCCAAUUUUUUUCAGGUUGACCUCGGAUCAGGUAGGGAUACCCGCUGAACUUAAGCAUAUCAAUAAGCGGAGGA